AUUGGCUGCCUCUGCGGCCGCGCUGCCUUGUGAGGUGUAGGCCGGGGAGCGGGAGGCACCGCCUCCGUUCCGGCCCCGCCGUCUUUGGAGGGGGAAAGCCGGUGGACCCUGGUGGCCUGGCGAGCAUUUUCUCGGCUUCUAUGGGCUGGAAUGGCGGUGGUUCUUAAAGGGCGCGAGAGAGUGGUCGUUGUCUUCCGUUCUUUGCCACUUCACCUGACCGGACACCUGAAGCUCUGCCACGCAGAAUCCUGUUUCUCGGACCGACUCGUAUGUACGUGCGUGUGGUCAAAAGUGCUUGGAAAGCUUGGAGGACGUCUCUCCGCCGUCAGCUUUGUCGCUAACCAAGUGCGGUGCGCCUGCGUGUAUCGUGGCUUCGCGAACAAAAGUUCAGAAUCCUGGCCUCUAGGUCUGGAUCAGGAGCUUCGCCGAGGCUGGAGCCGAUCGGCUGCGCUGGACUGAAGGAGGGUUUCCUGUCGUUUCAGUGUUACUGUGGGUUCACUGUGGCUCUGGGACUUGAAGGGUUGUCUGAGGUUGGAGACCCAAGGUAGCAGACACUGAGAGAAACAAUAAAUGGGACCUCCUGCAACUGAGAAGCUUCUAUAAACCGAAGGACACGGUCAGCAAGACAAAAUGAUAGCCAAAGAAUGGAAAAAGACCUUCACUAACCACAAGUGAGUGAACUGAAGGACAUGCCAGAGAGAGUGGGACAUUUGUGCCCUAAACCUUUAAGAAGCAUUUUUUGCCAGAGAACUCUCAACAGAGGAAUCUAAAAAAUGGCUGAAAGACACGUGAGGAUAUGAUCAGCAUCCUUAGCCAUGAGAGAAAUGCAAAUCAAAACAACUGAAAAUCCAUCUUAUACCUGUAAGAAUGGCCAAGAUAAAAAAACAGUGAUGACAACUUAUGCUGGAGAGGAUGUGGGGUAAAGGGAACACUCCUCCAUUGCUGGUGGGAGUGCAAACUGGUACAGCCCCUUUGGGUAUCAGUAUGACAAUUUCUCAGAAAAUCAGGAAACAACCUACCCCAAAGAGCUAGCUAGCACUACCACUUUUGGGUAUAUACCUAAAGGAUGCUCAAUCGUGCCACAAGGAAGUGUGCUCAGCUUAUGUUCACAGCAGCACUGUUUGUCAUAGCCAGAACCUGGAAACAACCUAAAUAACCCUCAACCAAGGAAUGGUUAAGGAAAAUAUGCAUAAAAGUGACUUUUAGACAUAAAGCAAAGAAAAGCCACCCUUCAAUUCACAAUCCCACAGAACCUAGACAACAUAGAGGAACCUAAGAGAGAUAUAUACGGAUCUAAUUGACAUGGUAAGUAAAAAAAAAAGACAAGAUCUGAGUAAAUUGGGAACAUGGGAGAGGGUAGAACAUGAGGGGAGAGGAUGGGAGGAGUGGAGAAAAAUAUAUAGCUCAAUAAAAACAAAAAUCAG
Long non-coding RNA from Alexandromys fortis (reed vole), 1424 nucleotides. RefSeq lists it as uncharacterized. NCBI's taxonomy places the organism in Eukaryota, Metazoa, Chordata, Mammalia, Rodentia, Cricetidae. The record is from RefSeq and is a predicted model, not a curated record. The transcript has 2 exons.